Molecule: ribosomal RNA, 460 nt
Filed under: uncultured bacterium
Lineage: Bacteria
Description: partial 16S ribosomal RNA
Rfam family: Bacterial small subunit ribosomal RNA
Source: RNAcentral
CCUACGGGUGGCAGCAGUGAGGAAUAUUGGUCAAUGGACGCAAGUCUGAACCAGCCAUGCCGCGUGAAGGAAGACGGUUCUAUGAGUUGUAAACCUCUUUUGUCCGAGGGCAAAGGCAGAUACGCGUAUCUGUCUGAAAGUAUCGUACGAAUAAGGAUCGGCUAACUCCGUGCCAGCAGCCGCGGUAAUACGGAGGAUUCAAGCGUUAUCCGGAUUUAUUGGGUUUAAAGGGUGCGUAGGCGGUCGGAUAAGUUAGAGGUGAAAUCCCGAGGCUCAACCUCGGAACUGCCUUUGAAACUGGUCGUCUAGAGAGUAGUAGCGGUAGGCGGAAUGUAUGGUGUAGCGGUGAAAUGCUUAGAUAUCGCGCAGAACCCCGAUUGCGAAGGCAGCGUACCGGCUCCACACUGACGCUGAGGCACGAAAGCGUGGGUAUCGAACAGGAUUAGAUACCCCAGUAGUC